This 254-nucleotide ribosomal RNA is filed under the name uncultured bacterium. RNAcentral describes it as "partial 16S ribosomal RNA". It matches the Rfam family "Bacterial small subunit ribosomal RNA", at positions 524 to 776 of the family's 1533-position model. The record is from RNAcentral.
UACGAAGGGGGGCUAGCGUUGUUCGGAAUUACUGGGCGUAAAGCGCACGUAGGCGGAUCGGUCAGUUAGGGGUGAAAUCCCAGAGCUCAACUCUGGAACUGCCUUUAAUACUGCCGAUCUCGAGUCCGGAAGAGGUGAGUGGAAUUCCUAGUGUAGAGGUGAAAUUCGUAGAUAUUAGGAGGAACACCAAUGGCGAAGGCAGCACUCUGGGACGGUACUGACGCUGAGACGCGAAAGCGUGGGGAGCAAACAGG